Molecule: ribosomal RNA, 484 nt
Filed under: uncultured bacterium
Lineage: Bacteria
Description: partial 16S ribosomal RNA
Rfam family: Bacterial small subunit ribosomal RNA
Source: RNAcentral
GAUGAACGCUGGCGGCAUGCCUAACACAUGCAAGUCGAGCGGUGGAGGGGAGCUUGCUCCUGGAUUCAGUGGCGAACGGGUGAGUAAUGCGUAGGAAUCUGCCCGGUAGUGGGGGAUAACGUCCGGAAACGGGCGCUAAUAACGCAUAAGUACUGAGGGAGAAAGGGGGGGAUCUUGGGAGCUCAAGCGAUUUGAGGAGCUUAGGUCGGAUUAGUUGGUUGUGGGGGUAAAGGCCUACCAAGGGGCCGAACGGGAACGGGUCGUAGAGGGGGAUAAGUCACCCUGGAGGGGGGACACGGUCAAGACUCCUACGGGAGGCAGCAGAGGGGAAUAUUGGACAGCGGGGGAAAGCCUGAUCCAGUCAUGCCGCGCGUGUGAAGAAGGUCUUCGGUUUGUAAAGCCGGUUAUGUUGGGAGAAAGGGCAGUAAGUUGAUACCUUGCUGUUUUGACGUUACCAACAGAAUAAGCACCGGCUAACUACGUG